GCUUAGGUAUUUUAAUAAAAAUAUUGAUUUGUGGAAUCAUUGAUGUGGAUUUUUCACCUAGGCC
RNAcentral lists this transfer RNA (64 nucleotides) under Yunnanites coriacea. RNAcentral describes it as "tRNA-His". Lineage: Eukaryota; Metazoa; Arthropoda; Insecta; Orthoptera; Pyrgomorphidae. The record is from RNAcentral.